RNA transcript from Etheostoma cragini (Arkansas darter), 1357 nucleotides. It is a transcript of the gene named thiamin pyrophosphokinase 2, with no coding region annotated. The record is from RefSeq and is a predicted model, not a curated record. Lineage: Eukaryota; Metazoa; Chordata; Actinopteri; Perciformes; Percidae. The transcript has 10 exons.
CAGACAUGCGCAUUAGCGUGGCCGCUGUGUCUAUGGACUAUGGAAUCUAGUGCGGUUGUUGUUAUUAUUACCAGAGACGGUUUAGCGUAGUAGUAUUUUUUGUUAUUAUUCAUCAAUAGUUAUGCAGUGUAGUUAUGUUCAGCGCGUGACUCAAACACAGUAACUGUAGUGGUGUUUAAGAAGUGUUUUGUUGACGUAGGCUACAUAAAAAAAAUGGCUAAAUCUGCCUGGUCGGAGAAAAUGCUCCAACUCCUCCGCCGAAUGAAUAACUUUUCUCUACCAGGCUCGUGCCGCCCCCAGUGCUUCAGGUUUGAGAUCAACGACGCACAGGUAGGCUGGAUUCGCCCUCACGUGGCUCCGCUGCUGGCCCGGCACCCGGAGGUGUUCUCCCCGCCCCACGGGGGCGCAGUGGCGCUGCUCCCCGGCCUGGACACCCACGAGAGCAGGUCUGCGGCUGUGGACGCUGUCCUGCAGAGUAUGAGACAGGAGGGCCACCUGACCUGUCUUAAAGGAUGGAGGGAUGAGAAGUACAGCGUGAUGGCGAAGUUCUCGGACCCUCCGAUGAUGUGGAUGGAGAGAGCCGCUACGAGUCUUUUUGGGGUGAAGCGGGGUGGAGUCCACAUCAAUGGCUACACCGUCAGCGAGGGGGGGGAGGUCAGCAUGUGGCUGGCACGCCGCUCCCCGACCAAACAGACGUACCCCGGACUACUGGACAACGUGGCGGCCGGCGGUCUGGCUGCUGGCGUUGGCGUCAAACACACUCUGGUCAAAGAAUGUCAGGAGGAAGCAUGUAUCCCAGCAGCCAUUGCUGAGAAGGCUCUUCCUGUGUCCACAGUAAGCUACACCUACGAGGAGGAAGACGGGGUGUUCGCAGAAAACCAGUUCGUCUUUGAUCUGGAACUUCCUCGGGACUUCAAGCCCAGAGUAGGAGACGGAGAGGUGCAGGACUUCUACCUUCUGCCCAUUGAUGAGGUGAAAGAGCUGCUGGCCACCGACGACUUCAAACCCAACUGUGCCCUGGUGGUCCUGGACUUCCUCAUUAGACACUCCUUCAUCGAGCCAGACGCAGAGCCAUGCUAUCAGGAAUUUGUGGCGGGACUCCAUCAGACGUUGGAGUGAAGCAGAGGACCGAGCCGCCUGGCGGAGGUCUACAUCCAUCCAACGUUAGCCAACCUGCAUGUUGGGUCCUGAGAGGGUGCUUUGAGAGAACCUCCUCCGAGACUCGACUGAGUCUAGAAACGGGGGACGGGUGAACUGGAGUGCUGGAUUUGGGACUGAGGGUCUUCCCAACACAGCUCUCUGAACUGUAAGCUUUUAACCCUCGUGUUGUCCUCAGGUCAAAUUUGACCCCCUUUCA